GUGCGCAAUGAUGGUAUACCAUCUUUCGGGUCUGAUCUUGAUGAGACAGUUUGUUGCUGAGCGCAC
Molecule: small nucleolar RNA, 66 nt
Filed under: Toxocara canis (dog roundworm)
Lineage: Eukaryota; Metazoa; Nematoda; Chromadorea; Rhabditida; Toxocaridae
Description: Small nucleolar RNA SNORD2
Rfam family: Small nucleolar RNA SNORD2
Source: Rfam by way of RNAcentral